This 258-nucleotide ribosomal RNA is filed under the name uncultured bacterium. RNAcentral describes it as "partial 16S ribosomal RNA". It matches the Rfam family "Bacterial small subunit ribosomal RNA", at positions 111 to 354 of the family's 1533-position model. The record is from RNAcentral.
UAACGCGUGGAGAACCUGCCGUAUACUGGGGGAGUAACACUUAGAAAUAGGUGCUAAUACCGCAUAAGCGCACAGCUUCGCAUGAAGCAGUGUGGAAAACAAAAAGCUAAAGCUUUUGGUGGUAUACGAUGGAUCCGCGUCUGAUUAGCUUGUUGGCGGGGUAAAGGCCCACCAAGGCGACGAUCAGUAGCCGGCCUGAGAGGGUGAACGGCCACAUUGGGACUGAGACACGGCCCAAACUCCUACGGGAGGCAGCAG